This 253-nucleotide ribosomal RNA is filed under the name uncultured bacterium. Its description in RNAcentral is "partial 16S ribosomal RNA". It matches the Rfam family "Bacterial small subunit ribosomal RNA", at positions 524 to 776 of the family's 1533-position model. The record is from RNAcentral.
CACGGGGGGAGCAAGCGUUGUUCGGAAUCACUGGGCGUAAAGGGCGUGUAGGCGGUCGGAUAAGUGGAAUGUGAAAUCCCUCGGCUCACCCGAGGACCUGCAUCCCAAACUGUCCGACUUGAGUAUGGGAGAGGAUGAGGGAAUUCCUGGUGUAGCGGUGAAAUGCGUAGAUAUCAGGAGGAACACCGGUGGCGAAGGCGCUCAUCUGGCCCAAUACUGACGCUGAGGCGCGAAAGCUAGGGGAGCAAACGGG